Molecule: long non-coding RNA, 526 nt
Organism: Mya arenaria
Lineage: Eukaryota; Metazoa; Mollusca; Bivalvia; Myida; Myidae
Exons: 3
Source: RefSeq, a predicted model, not a curated record
UUAACUGAAUUUAGACAGUAAUGUAUUCAGAAAGGAAUAUUUAAGUGACAUAAAAUGUAUAUAAACACGUUAAAUAUGUCAUAUAUAUUUUGAAUACGCUAAAUUAAGAAUAUAUACCUAUAGAGAAUGCAUUCUGAAUAAUGAACAUGAUUUUGUUGUAUAAUUAUCCAUUUAUAUUGUCUUUAAUCAAAACAAUAUGAAUACUAAAAACUAUAUGCUGUGUGUUCCUGUGGAUUAAAACAGUUAGUUGACCUUAAAGUGACUAGACACCAGGUGAUACAAUUGCAGGAAGAACAUAAAAAUGUAGCCGUAUGAAUCUUGUAGAUGCUAGGCGGAAGAGAUGCGUUCCGGGUACGAAACGCCCUGUCUGGAUCAGCUAGAAAUCUCAAGCAGCAUUGGAAGGCGUAGUGCGUCAAUGAUUGAAAUGAAUUUUGUUAUCAUAAAUGUCAGUUAAUCAGUCUACACAUGCAUUUAUAAUCUCUAAAAACUCUAAAAGUUUUAAGCUAGGUUUGUUACUUUUGUACCA